RNAcentral lists this long non-coding RNA (1900 nucleotides) under Bos grunniens (domestic yak). RNAcentral describes it as "lncRNA (ENSBGRG00000002540.1)". The record is from RNAcentral. Lineage: Eukaryota; Metazoa; Chordata; Mammalia; Artiodactyla; Bovidae.
CAAGGGCAGGGUGGGAUAUCUCCUAGGAAAAUCCCUGACUGGCAGGCUGGACCUACAGCCGCAACCAGCAUUAUUAUUUUCUGAUAUAACAGAGUAUGUUCACACAGGGCAGGAAGCUCCUGCUUCUGGAAGUCCCUCCCAUCAGACUCCUAAAGGGCACUGAAGGAACCUCCCACCCACAGUGAGCAGAGCCCUCCCCAUACCUGCCAAGGUCUUGGCUGCAUUACAAAGCUCAUCUGUCUUCUUGCAGCAUUCCCCUAGCUCAUCCUUUAUCAUCCCCAAGAUCUGGAGACACAGAGAGGCAGACACGUCAGGCCGGUCAAACAUGAACUCCCCAUUGAUAUAUUCUGAGAAAAGAACUAUUCUCAAUAAUAUUACCUGGUUGUGUUCAACUGCCUACAAGUUUCUAAAAUCCUGCCUACCUCACUAACUCUCCAGCCUCCUCUGCUAGUGUUGCUUCCACCAUCCAUGAAGGUUCCACUAGUCAGAAAAAUGGGCAGUUUUACAAAUAUUUAACCUUGGUCCCCUUCAUAUUUUCUGUAUGCUGUUUUUCCUGCUUCUGGCUCUUCAGAUAACAUUCUACCAUAGAGAAUAUGCACAAAUUUUUCAAAAUUUACAUCACACACCUUUUCUGGGAACAUUCACUAAACCACCUUCCCUAUAUGAAAUCACUGUACUUUUAUGUGCAUAAAUUUGUAUCAAUGAUAUCAUACAUUUUCAAUAUUUGAAAUUUAUGGUUUGUGAAAUAUAACUCAAUAAAACUGUAAGAACUUGAAACUUGAAGUUUAACUUAAAUUGUUACAGAAUCUUGUUUAAAACUCAGGGCCUCCAAUGAAUUAGAAGCAGUGAAGAACAAUAGUGCUUCUCUCUAUGACUUUGUUUUAUUUUUCACCCACCCCUUCCUGAGGGCUCAGGCUUUGUUCCAAACUCACUGCCCAGACCCAGACCAGACAUACUUCCAGCAUCUGAAUCCUCUCAUUCAUCUUUCUCAGAAGGUCGUCUCUUUCUCUCAUUUCCUUUGUGAGUUUGUCUCUAAAUCUCUCGAACGUUUUUUCUCGGUCCUCCAACUUUUGCUGCAAUUCUUUAACCAUUUGCUCAAGAAGCUUCUUUUCCCACAUAGCAUCCUCCCAUUGGGCCAGCAUUUCUGCUCCCGGAAGAUUUUAGAGAGAGAAGAGAAGAAAACAACAGUCAGCACUGAGAGCUACAAGCCCACAACCAACAACCCUUGCUUUCUGAGUAACCAAACUGUCUGGGCAAAGCAGAUGGACAUGUCUAAAUUCACCUGUGACCACACAUAAGGGCAGGUGCGAGAAUGUGCUAGAAAAGGGGAUGAUUGGUUGGACCUCUAACCACAAUUCACCUUGUUAUUUUCAGAUGUAGCAGAGUGUGUUCACAGAAGGAGAGGAAGCUCUAUUUCUGGAAGUUCCUCCUGUUGGAGUCAUAGAGGGCACUGCAGGAACCCACCCUACCAUGAGCUGAGUCUACCCUAUACCUGCUGAGGUCUUUUCUCUUUCUCUUUGCUUCUCUGUCUUUUUGACUCCUAAUUCCUCAGAGACCCUUUCUUGGUCUUCCAGGAACAUUCCAUAAAGCACAUUCCCAAGUGAAAUCACUAUACAUACUUUGGUAAAUUUGUAUCAAUCAUACAUGUACAUUUAAUUAAAUAUAGUUGUACAUUCAAAUCCGUGAAAUCUAUGGCUUGUGAAUUACAUCUCUAUGAAACUGUUUAAAUAAACCUGAAUCUCUGCAUCUCAGAAAAAAAGUGCUGAAAUACUAUAAGACAUACUGGUAAGUAUCUUUAUUCCUUGAGUUUCUAGGUGAAAUGUAGGGAUUUUAAUAUAAUGUCUAUAGUUCCUCACAGCUGUAGCUUCCUCAGAUUCUAUCUAUAGUGCAUGAAUAACAG